UGGGGAUGAAAGGCAUGUGCCCUUGGGGGUAGGGACUAGGAUAUGAGAGAAUGGUCAGAGAAACUGCUGGCCAUGCCCUGUGAGAGGGGAAUUCUGGGAGUCCUGCUCCUGCUUCCCAGCUCUCAGCCCCAGACAGCUCUAAGGCUGGAAGUCCCUGCUUUAAAAACAGAUCAGAGAGGAUGACAAGGAUCCAGCUACAGACUCCAUUAGCAACAGGGGAGCAAAGUGCAUCUCCUCAUCCCAGCUCUGGGUCAGGGGAAGGUCGCCUGUGGAUGUGUGAGUUGACAUUGCCUUCUCUCCCCUAGGAGCCCCACUCUGGUGAAGAACAUGAUCUCCGGCCUCAGUUAUGGGGCACUUAACGCCAGCUACCAGGCUGCCCUGGCAGAGAGCAGCUUCCCUCUCCUCAGCAGCCCCGGCAUGCUGAACCCUGGCUCAGCCAGCAGCCUUCUGCCCCUCAGCCAGGAUGACAUGGGCGCCCCUGGGGAACCACUACCCAGCAAUGGGAGCAGCAGCCCCCCUCGCCUCUCCCCUCCUCAGUACAGUCACCAGAUACAAGUCAAAGAGGAGCCUGCUGAGGCAGAGGAAGACCGACGGCCGGGACCUCCCCUGGGCGCCCCCAACCCCAGCACUGUGGGGCCUCCAGAAGACAGGGACCUGGAGGAGGACCUGGCAGGAGAGGACAUGUCCUAAGGGCUGGGUGGGCAGGCAGGGCAGAACAAGACCCUGCCGCCCAGUCUGGACCCCGGCCCACCCACCCCACUUUACAGCCCCUCCAACCUCAAGGCACUUCGGGGACUUGGACAGGGGAGACCUGGGCCCCACGCCACCUGACUGACAGACGCCUGGGGGCAGGCACAUCCCUGCCUCCCCAAGAGAACACAGAAUCCUUGGACUGGGACCUAUAGAGGACAUGGAGGGCCCAGACCCUCUCAGCCCCUCCCUGUAUUCCCAACCACCACCAGCAGCAGCAGGGCUCUCCCUCCCCACCAGCGCUCCCCUCCAGGGCCCCUUAGCACAGGGGAGACCCGCAGGCGGGGCUGAGCCACCCCCACAAACCCUACCUUCAUCCCCUCUGCCCUGUCAGUGGCAGAGGUUUCUGGCCAGAGGACCCUUCCUGGUUCAUCUUCCCUCACCUUCUUUUCCCAACUGUGAAAAUUAGUUCUCCAGCCCCAGCUUCCCGUUCGAUGGGGCGAGCAGGCUGGGGGUACACCUGCAGGCCAGCCCCUCAGCUGCUGGGGUGGAGCAAGUUGUGCCCUGCCCUCCCCUACCCCACCCCCGACCUGAGACAGGAUCCAGACUAAGCAGGCCUCCACCCCACCCUGUUUGCUGGGUACUCCUGCGGCACCCCGACUUGAGGAAGCACUGAGGGACCCCCAUGCUGGGCACCUUCAGAGCUGUGUGCAUAGGUGGCCUCUGCCCAGAGCAUCACAGCACGAAGUAAGCCAGGCUGGAACUACCCUCACCCCAGCCUAGGGGUCCCCUGAAUUGGGGUCCUCUCACCCCCCUCAGCACCCCUUCCUGUCCCCCCUCCCCUCCCCUCCUCCCAGUUAAACGGAUGACCAAAGACCUUUCUUAUGCCGGAAGCAAAAACCAAAACUUUUUGUUGGCUUUUUCUUUUGCCGCCUCCCCGAGCAUCCUGCCCUCCCAACCCUGCCUCCUGGCCCCAGGCUGGAAGCCCCUCCUUCACUUAAGUUAUUGUUUUAAACCAAAGUUUACAGUGUCUGUUGGUGGCAAGACCCCCUUUCUUCCCUCCCCCCAAGGGUCCAGGGGUCCUAUUCACUUCCCCCUCUGCUCUUACCUUGCCUACGGAGAUAGGAGAGGGCAGAACCCUGCCCCAACCCUGGGCUGCUUUCUGAGGGGGCUCCUCAGAUGCCUCCAUAGGACCAAGUCCCCAUCAUGCCGGGAGUGUGGAUUCUAGCAGAAGAGCUAGAAACGAUGAGAUUCCACAGACCCCCUAUGGGGGACCCACAACCCAAGGCCACGCACGGACUGGGUGUAAGGGAUGCCUAGAACACCCUGACCAGGCCCCUUCCCUUAGAAAGACUUCUUGGGUAUUUCCCAGGAGAACCCCACAUUCACCACCAACCCUCUAUCCCUACCCUACACACAAGCUGCCCUCCUGAGAGGCAAGGGGCACCCCCCGGCCUUCCCCUAUGUAUCCCCACCUGUGUUCCGUUUGACCCAGCACAGAAAUAUUAAAAUCCUCUAUUUACCGGG
RNAcentral lists this long non-coding RNA (2217 nucleotides) under Rattus norvegicus (Norway rat). Its description in RNAcentral is "long non-coding RNA NONRATT029158". Lineage: Eukaryota; Metazoa; Chordata; Mammalia; Rodentia; Muridae. The record is from RNAcentral.